Molecule: long non-coding RNA, 220 nt
Filed under: Lathyrus oleraceus (garden pea)
Lineage: Eukaryota; Viridiplantae; Streptophyta; Magnoliopsida; Fabales; Fabaceae
Description: Pisum sativum (pea) long non-coding RNA (PSAT_LNC001828)
Source: RNAcentral
AUAUGAUCACAAGGGAAUUGAUCCAAAGGAUAUCUGAAUGUCAAAGAGAGUAUGACUAAUAAUCCACUGAGGAAGGGAUGAUUGGCGUGAAAUGGUGCUUCACUAUUGAAGUGUUGAAUGAUUGAUGCUUGUUUGAAGAAGAAGACUUGUCGAUUGAGUGAUUCAAAUUGCACUAAAGUCUAUGAACAAAGGCGAAUACCUUGAGCAACUAGGUCAUGCG